UGCACGUUCUCGUUAUCCUCAUAACUAGCCUUAAGCUUAACUACGUUUGGAUGCUCAGGUAAAGUAGACAUAAUCGCUACCUCACGACGAACGUCUUCGAUAUCGACAGCUGUUCGAAGCUUUCGCUUUGAAAUCGAUUUGCAAGCUAAAGCUUCGUGGGUUUCACGAUCAGUACAGAGGUAAGUGAUUCCGAAUUCGCCUCGACCUAAUUCACGACCUAAGAUGUAUUUGUCGCUGAUCUGAGUUUGAUUGCUCAUAGGGAUUACAUCUUUGAGAACACGUAUUGGAGCUGGGGAUCUGGUGAAAUCUCCGGCGAAUGGGUUUAAUUUCCGAUCUCGAUUGGGUUUUUUCGGCUUUGAAGAUGGUUUUGAUUCUUUUGAGUCUGGCCUUACACAGGCGUUACAGUUACCCAUGGCUGAGUUAAGAAACUCAGCAAACUCAGAGAAAGGAGAUCAAGGAAGAAGAAGAAGAAGGAUUAUAGAAGAAAAAAGCUUAUCUCUUUAGUUCAUAUGGACGCCGGAAGUGACGGUGGCGGUGAUUUUCCGGCGAAUUGGAGAGUUGGGUUGGGAGGGGGAGAGAAAACGCGGGUUCAGGUGAGGAAAAGUCGGACCUUUCGAAAUUUCGGAUUUUGUUUGAUUCAAUUAAAAAAAAGGGAGUCUUUGAUUUUUGUG
Arabidopsis thaliana (thale cress) is the source of this 671-nucleotide long non-coding RNA. RefSeq annotates it as other RNA. The record is from RefSeq. Lineage: Eukaryota; Viridiplantae; Streptophyta; Magnoliopsida; Brassicales; Brassicaceae. The transcript has a single exon.